CAAUACUUCACAUUUUAAUGGUUAGCAUACACAAGAACUUUAAACACAGUAUAAACACAGGUCAAGCAAGCCUCACAAGGCCCCUUUUAUACUGCAUAAGUAUAAUUAUUACCAAUAAGAGAUCAAAGAUAGAUCCUACAUAUCACUCAGUGACUUGAACUCACAGUGACAGCAACAAAUAUUCAUAGAGUUAUUCACACUGCAGAUGGAUGCAAGGUCAGGCUUUUUCCAGUGCAGUGGAGCAAUGGAAAAGGCUGCCUCAGUCACCAAGUCUUUCAAAUAUGUAUGCUGUAUGUAUGUGUAUAUAUAUAAAUAUACACACAUGCUAUAACCUGAGCCUUACUACAAGCUUCCUGCUCUGCCAUACUGUGUGUGCCCACCCCAGAUGACUGAAUCUGUUGAAGCUAUAUCAAUCUUCUCUGAAGCAUUUCACAUACAUGUUAGCACUAAAACACUCUAGUAAAUAAUCACUCUCAUAAACAGAGACGGGCUCUUUUCAAACUUUUUCCAUUAUAGCUGUAUAAAAUCUGUUGUUCAGUAAAUGUCACAUAGCACCAGGUUUUGUUCUGUCCAGCAUAACUCAGGCGUUCUGUAGGAAACUCAGGCAUUAGCAGUUCCAAGCUAUUCUGUGCAUCUCAACUCUCAACAUCAGCUGGAGCAUCUAUCUCACAAAGAUGUCAGAUGACCUCUUAGUAACUCUUCUUCUAUUGAUGACCACUAUCAGGUUACAAGAACACUGGAGUAGCAAGAUAGCCAUCAUGUUAAAGAUUAUCCUCUUCCAGGGAGUAAAUUUUUUCAGUGCAUCAAAGGCACUCUGGACUGGAAGACUGUUUGUUUGUGUGCAGAUGUUUAUUUGUGUGAAGGCAUGACACUGCAAAAAGAGAAUAUAAGUACAAUAAACAGAACACAAGUAUCUCAACUAAAGAAACAGAACAGACAGAGCAAAAGAAUGCAGAAUUUCUUUGAAACAAAAGCAUUGAGAAGGGAACAAGAUAUUUUUAAGAAACACAUGGAAAAAAUAUGCCAAAAGAUCAACCCAUUAAAAUUCUCUCUCACUGUAACUCUUAAAAAUGGAAAAGAUGUCAUAGAACAAGACUGUCACUUUCAUUACAAUGUAUUGUCAUGUGUUCAGGCAAUGCAAUCCCUCUGUAAAUCUUAAAAUCCACCAAGUGAUUCAUGGUUUCUACUGUAUGUAAAACAUACUAAAGUCACCACUAUGGAAAUGAGGAACCACCCUCUGAAGGUUUUAGCUGUAUUUUUAUUGUUUUCCUUUUCUAGCAAUGAAUGUCAGUACCACUGAAUUACUUGCCUUUCACAUUACUCUAUUCACAGAUAAGAGAACUCAUGCUCCUUGGGGCAAAAGCCUAUCAUCCAUAGACUAAACAGGCAUUUUGCUGUUGAGUACAACAAAAACAAUGGAGCAAAUUCUCAUUUGGCUAAGAGCAUGUUUAUCCUGCAAUGACUGCAACCAACACCAAACAUAACAACACUUCAUUUGACUACUAAUGUCACAAACCCAAAGGAGCUGCAUGAAUGAUCGUGGUUAAUCUCUGCUGAGAGUUUUGCUGCUGCAGUUCCAUUUUCAACAAUGCAGCCAAGCUAUCCUGAUCAUAUGCAAUGUUACUUAAAGACUGCUUGAUAUAUAACCUAAAUUAUGUCUACCUGGCUAAAAUAUUAAGUCAUGUUUUCUGCUACAGCCACCCCACUUUGUCCACUCAGGGUUCAAAUUCGUGUACACUGAUACACAAGCUCUCACCCAGCUUCAAGUGAAGCAGAAAUAGGCCCUGUGCUUCAUUCAGCAUGAUCAUCCGGAAGAAGCACUAAUAGUCAAUGUGUAUAACACAAGCCAACAAAUGGGAUGACAUGUUAGGCAGCAAAAAUGAUCAAUUACAAGCUCGCGCUUGGAAGUAGUUUAUUAGCUAACCAUCAGAUGUCCUGCUUUUCAUUGCAAAGACAUCUCAACCAUUGCAACCUUUUUAGUAGUCCAAGGCUUGCUACCUUCAUGCCCAGCUGCUUUAUAUGAGGUAAGAACAUGUGGAAAGGAUGGGCCAUACAGAACCCUGUGGUACUUUUAUUAGUAUCUUCUAAAUAAUAUUUUAAUAGUAUUUUGAAGGGGAAUGAACAGCUGGGUUCAUAUGUGUGAAAAAUAUUGACCAACAGAAAUGCUUUAUAUGUAGCUCACAAAAUGCCUCAAACUCUGUAGUAGCUAUGUCCUAACAUUUUAGACUGUCUUGCCCAUGGAUAGGUGCUCUGUUGGUAGCAGACUUUGCAAUAACUUUAGGCUUUGGCUCAGAAUGAUCGACUGCAUGGACAUUAGGUGGCUUAGACCUUGAUUUAUUUGUGGCAUUCGUCAGUUCUCAUGAACUUCCAAUGGAGCUUUGAGUCUUCCUGUCUUUCACAGUUAGCCUUUAGAGGCUAAAUUUUCUAAGAUAUUGGGAUAAUACUCCCAAAAGGACUAUAUAUCUUUCCUCAAAUACUCCUCUAUGGUUUCAACAACCCUAUGGAGGCUGGUUUCUAGAGAACUUGUGCUAUUAUCUGCUGUCAGUCCUGACAUUAGAUACCUCUAAUGUCAGUACCUUUCCUAUCUCUAGAUCACCUAUUUUAUUAUUCAGUAGCAUUACUGGCAAGACAGAGGUACACAAACAGUGAAAAGGAAAAAAUGAUAAGGUCUGAAUAGUAAUUGUCUCUCAUGUGCGCAAGUAUCGGUGAUGGAUCGUCCAAAUACAGCUGAGAGAAAUCUGGUGUUAUUUACAGAUCCAGGGGAAAAAAGAAACAAACCAGACAAACCCACACCUGCCACAGUACAUUACUGGUUGGUGAACCCUCCUGAAAUAAGACUACUAAUAAAACAAGUAUGACAUUUUAUCCUUAGAGAAAAUUGCUUUGAGGAGGGAACAUUGUAAGAAGCAUGUAAAUUCUGGAGGCUGUUCGAGAAAAUGCAGUAGGUAACUGCCCACCUUAGAAACGGUCAAGAAGAGGUAGGCUGUUUGUACCUUUACAAAGGUACAAUGGCAUCCCACAU
RNAcentral lists this long non-coding RNA (3022 nucleotides) under Strigops habroptila (Kakapo). RNAcentral describes it as "lncRNA (ENSSHBG00005009061.1)". Lineage: Eukaryota; Metazoa; Chordata; Aves; Psittaciformes; Psittacidae. The record is from RNAcentral.